CCUGACAGAGCCUGACAUAACAGAGAGGACCUACAUUGCCUUUACUGUUAAGUUCAUUACAGGAGCUAUGGUAGCUGCUGAACUAGUGCUGAUUAGGUUUGUUUGGGACCAACAGCUUCUUAAUAGCAGAAAACUCUGAAUUAGCUGACCAAAUAUUCGUCUGAAGUUUCUAUAAAAUUCUGCUUAAAGACAGUUUAGUGAAGUUGAAACCAUGACUUGAAGGACCAAGUAGCAAUUCUUGCUGGUAAUCUCAGAAGUGAUCCACAGGCAAGGUUUAUUUCUUCAAGCAAUAUUUCCAUGGAGAUACUGGCGUCCUUAACUAUUGAAUUGUAAAUUCAACGUGAGCAGCAAUAACGGAUGCAUAAACCCAACUUAUUCCUAAAGUAA
Non-coding RNA from Taeniopygia guttata (zebra finch), 387 nucleotides. Lineage: Eukaryota; Metazoa; Chordata; Aves; Passeriformes; Estrildidae. The record is from RefSeq and is a predicted model, not a curated record.